RNAcentral lists this transfer RNA (73 nucleotides) under Callorhinchus milii (elephant shark). Its description in RNAcentral is "tRNA-Ile (AAT) (tRNA-Ile-AAT-13-1)". It matches the Rfam family "tRNA". Rfam says of the family: Transfer RNA (tRNA) molecules are approximately 80 nucleotides in length. Their secondary structure includes four short double-helical elements and three loops (D, anti-codon, and T loops). The record is from RNAcentral. Lineage: Eukaryota; Metazoa; Chordata; Chondrichthyes; Chimaeriformes; Callorhinchidae.
GGCCGUUAGCUCAGUGGGUGAGAGCGCGGUGCUAAUAACGCCAAGGUCGCGGGUUCAAUCACCGUACGGGCCA